Long non-coding RNA from Cervus elaphus (red deer), 2986 nucleotides. RefSeq lists it as uncharacterized. The transcript is spliced from 3 exons. Lineage: Eukaryota; Metazoa; Chordata; Mammalia; Artiodactyla; Cervidae. The record is from RefSeq and is a predicted model, not a curated record.
CUCUGGACUCCCAGCUUCUAGGUCACUGGGGACUGUCAUAAAUACUUUCCCCCUUUCCCUUCUGGAAAGCAGAGGCUGGACAGGCCGUAUCCGCUCUGGGGCCUGAGCCCUAUCUUUUAGGGGAUGGGGGGAUAUCUCAACAUUUUAUGGGCCAGCGAAAACCCUGCCACAGAGCUAUCCUUCCGGGCCUUUGUGUCUUGGAAUGCAACUGUCCAGAGUGUGCUGCUGCCUGCACCGCCUGCUCUGAGAGCCCACCAGUCCCCAAACCCUGGCUGGACUUGAUUUCCCCUUUCGAGGGUCCCUCGCCUUUUCUCUCUUUAGUUCAUUUGAUCGUUUGUUUUCUACAUGUAUCUGGUUGAUUUCGCUCCUGGAGCCUGGAAAUAAAGGAACCGCAAGCAGCCAUCCUUGCUGGGGCGUCUCCGUCCCUCGCCCCGAGGCCUGCACCGCCCUCCUAGCGAUUAUUUUCAACGCCCGCCCUUCUGAGCCUCCCGAAUCUGCUGGCAGAGCGUGGGCCCGUCUCCUGCCGCCACUCGCGAUUUAUUUACACCUCGCAGAGACACUGUGCAAAAGGAACUGCCGCGAUUUUCCCCGCAACCAGGCGCAUUUCUGGCCUCGGAACACCGCGCACACAGACGCACGCACCGAAGCUCCCGCAACCGCCUUCCCGUGGAGCGCACCCUAAAAUCCUCGCUCCUCUUACCCUGCCGCUGGCUCCGUACCGCCUAUUCCGCCGCCGCCUGCAGGACGUUGGGGUGGGACUCUGGCUUCUCCCGGGUCUUUGCCCCCUGGUUUGUGGCCCAUCCCUCUCUCACGCGCGCUCUCUCUCCACCUCUCCCUCCCAGCCAGUGAGGUCCUGUUCUCCGUGGGCCAUAGACAAAACAUUCCUAUAAUCCGAUUUCAAAGGAAAGAGUGUCCACCUUAUUUAAACCAUAAAACAAUUAAGCCCAGACGUCUAGCCAGCUCCGCGCUGCUGUUUUGUUCGGCCCCAUUCAGAAUCCAGCGCAGGGAGACAAACAGCGCCAUAAAAGUGGCAUUUCGGGGCCUCGGAAAUGUACCUACCCUCUGCCUUCCCAAGUGGAACAACUUUUAGGGUUUUGUGAUUCUGACAAAGGAGAAGAGGAGAGGUGGGAGGGGAGGAUUAGGGCAGGGGGGCGUUUGCAAGCCCCUCUUUCGUCCCCAGCUUUCGUUUCUUUCCCCAGAUGUGUGUCGUGUUGUUGUGGUUUGAGUUCACAAAUGACAAUAAAUAAAAAUCGAAUCCAAUCCUGACCUGCAGGCUGGAGGCUGAGCUGGUACUGAACCGUGGGCUGGACCGCAUGGGCCUGCUCUGGAUCCCACGCUCUGGUCAGGGCCCUCCUUCCUGCCCAGAGCCAGACCGGCUCGGGCGGGCCGCAGGAAGCAGGCCGCGCUGACGGACGGACGAGGGGAGGCGACAGGGCCUUGGAGCAGGGGCGGGGUGGAGGCCCGGAAACACCGCCGAGCUCGGGCCGGGAGAGGAGCUUGAGUCCCCGCGGUCAGGACCGAGGGAGAUGGGUGGGUGCCUUGUCCUCCGCGCGGGGUGCAACUGAGGCCGGGGUCCCAGAGGAGGAGCGAGGUAGCCAGAAAACUACAGGCAAAGCACCUUUCAAAAGGACCAAGAAAACAAUCGCUUCUGGAAUUGGGAGGUCUCUUCUUAAGCGGGAAAGAGGAGGGGUGCCUCAGCGACUGGGAAAACCAAACCGCGACUUCUGAUUGUCUCCCUCAAAAUAUUAUCAAAAAGAAAACGUUCACCUCUUCCCACCUUCCUCCAGCCCCUGAAACUGGACUAUUUAAUAGGAGGAGCGGGUAGGAGAUUCAAAUGAUGGGAAGGGGCUGGUCCCUACAAGUGCCUCACCAAUCCUGUAAGGUGAUGCCAUGGGGGGAGCUGCUUAGGAAUUGGGGUCCCCAAUUAUUUUCUUUUACGGUGGUAUUCCCCAAGUAUUCAGAGCAACACCCUGCACCCUCGCCAGAAUGGGCAGCCUGAGAUAUUAAAGGGCUAUAUUUCAAGCAGUCUGAGUUUAAUAGUUUCCAGAUUGGGGGAUUUCCGAGAAAGGGGGCGCUGGGCCGAAGCAUACCCGGCAGCUUGAGUCUGCUUCUGAUUAGCAGAUGAAAACUGGUGGUUUUGGGGAAGGCGCUCCCUCGGGGUGCUAGGCAGUCAAACAUCCCCACUGGGCUGUUGUUACACACACAUAUUCCCCAGUCUUUGCCCCUGGGGUCCCACAGCCACCAGAGAACACCCCACUUCUGGCUAGCCCCUGGCCAGCUUCCCUUGGCCCUAGCCUCGGGAUCUCCUAGAACUACUGUGAUUGCUCAGCAUAACCACUGUCACCCCCAGAUCAACAUUCAAACUUCACCCCCAGAUCAACAUUCUAAGCACCAGAGAGAGAGAGGUUGAAUAGACUAGAGAGAACUAGGAGAUGGAGAGAGGAACUGAGAAUACACUGAGAAAUAGAAACUAAAUCCAAUCUUGAUUGCAUUGGUUUUGCCAUCUUUCUUCUCUCUCCCUCCUUUCCUUCCUUUUCUUUCUUCCCUCUCUACUCUCUCCCUGCUCUCUCUCUGCAUCUUCUUUCACUCUCAAUGCCCAGUGCCUGUCCAGUUCCCUGAGGCCUGCAGGGCCUUCCUCUUCAUCCUUCACCGCACACCCUCUUUAGCAGCCUCCCCCCCACCAAGACACCCCUCAAAGCACCGAUGCAGCCAGGCAAGAAUCCAGCCCCGGCCUGCACCCAGCACGCAACCUUCAUCUUUACCUAUCUCUUCCCUCCGAUCUCAUGUACUCAUAAAUUAUUACAAUUAAUUACAGCCAAGGAAAACCAUUCAUGCCGUACCCCCACCCCCAGGGACUCCAUCGAGCUACCAGGAGACUCACAGGCAGCCAGCCAGGGCAGGCACAAGCUGCACCCGGGCCUCAGCAGCCUCCACCGCACCCCGGGAGCCUCUUAGCCCCAUCACACCCUGCCUGGAGAGAAGUGGC